Molecule: long non-coding RNA, 4122 nt
Filed under: Olea europaea subsp. europaea
Lineage: Eukaryota; Viridiplantae; Streptophyta; Magnoliopsida; Lamiales; Oleaceae
Source: RNAcentral
CUUCAAGGUCGUUUGGAUAAACAAUGGAUUCCCCCAAUUUGUUAUCUUUAUCUCGAAGAAACGAAUCCUAACGUGUUGAGUAGACAUUGAAAGACACGCUUGAGUCAACCAUCACAUAUGGCACAUAUAAAUUGCCUUUGAUGGGUCGGUGAACACAGUGCAGAUUUUCAGAACGUCCAAACGCGCACGAAUUUUGAUUCAAUCACCUCUUCCGCACGCAGACGCACACAGAAAUGGACCUAAGAGAAUCCAUCAAGAACCAAACACAAGCAUCACUUCAGCUUGCACAUCACUUGGUUUCGACUGAGGCCAAGGAUAAGAAUUUGGUGUUCUCGCCGCUCUCGAUUCACGUGGUGUUGGGUCUGAUCGCGGCCGGAUCCAAAGAUCAAACCCUUAAUCAGUUGCUUAAUUUCCUCAAAUCGAAGUCCACUGAUGAACUCAACUCACUCUCCUCUCAGCUUGUAACUCUCAUUUUCGCUGACGGUGGCCCCCUUGGUGGGCCUUGCUUGUCAUUCGCUAAUGGGGUUUGGAUAGAUCAGAGUCUCAGCUUCAAGCCCAGUUUUAAAGAAAUUGUUGAUAAUAUUUACAAGGCUGCUUCUAAUCCUGUUGAUUUUCAAACUAAGGUUAGUUUAAUUUCUAUUUUCAAUUAUAGAACUCAUGAAUCUGUUUAUCGUUGAUCAAGGUUUGAUUGUUCCCUUAUAACAUUUUUUGCUUAUUAUUGGUGUUAAAUUUCCUUUUUUUUUUUUUUUUUUUUAAUCAAUUGAGACUCUAUUGUGUAUGUUUCUGAAAUUCAAUUUGAUGGCUUUGACACAAUUAAUAUGAUUACAUUUGGGAAAAAUAGGUGAUGAAAUUUUCAAAACAUAUUUCAAAAAUUAUUACAAUUGGUCCAUUUCAUUCAUUUUUAUUAGUUUGGUUAAUGGAAAAGCUGUUUCUUCCAACUGAUUGUUGAACUUAAAAUUUAUUGCAAUUUGUCGUUUUAUCCGUGCUUUUUUAAAUUUUGUUAAGGGAAAGCUGGAGUUGAUGUCCAGUAUUACCAAUGAAAAAUGAAUUUAGUUCAAUUAGUUAAACUACUUUUGCUCGUUUCUAUAAAUUGUUUGUGAACACUGUUUAUUUACACAUUUUGAGGAACCACUCAUUUCUAUCCGUUUAUAAUUUGAACUGUUUAAAAACACUCCCAAACAUGUUACUAUGUAAAUAUACAUAAGCAAGUUUAGCUAGAGGAAUUUGAGCUUGAAUUACAUAUAGAUUUCGGAUUUCCAUUAACAUCCGAGUCAGUAUAUCUCAAAGAACGAUUUGUUCAUUGUAUGAAUUUUCCAAGUUUCAAUGGAAUCGAGUUUGAUCUUGGCUAUUCAAUAAAUCUUGGUUAUUAAGUUGCAAUUAACUUGAGCUUGAUUUCAUUUAUUUAACAGCUUAUUGGAAUGUCAUAAGUAUGAAAAAACAACUGAAAGGUUUUGUCCUUCACUAUAGACCCAAUUGGAAGGCUGCUUAAUGUCAAAAUUGUGCUAUAGGAUCUCGUAAGGUUUGACCCAGAUUAAAUCAUUGAAGAUUAUGUCUCUCAUUUUUUAAAAAUUUUCACUUUUUUCUGUUUCUAACUGAAAACUUGACCUUCGUACGUUCAAAAGUUGCUAAACUAAGCCCAACCAAGCCGGAGGCAUUGUCUCCUAGUUACUUAGAUUUCAUCUUCCCAAAUACCAAAAUAGAAUGACAUGUAAUUUUAAACUUUAAAACACUUGCCAUACACCAGUGGUUGUAAAUCCAUGUGGUGCUUCACAUUGUAAGAAAAUUUGCAUUAUUUUUAUACCUUUUUCUUUUUUCUUUUUUUUUUUUUUUGUAAAUUCUGUAAUUGUUUACAGAAUUGUGAUAGUGUGAUAUUAUGAAAAUAUCAAAUGGAUAACAUCCAAUUUAUUCUUGUCUUCAUGUUAGUAUUGGUCACCAAGAAAUCCCUGUCGAAUGGAUGAAAAAUGCUUCUAGCUCCCUGACUCCAAAUUUAUUGGGGACGGCUUUGCUUUUGCUUUUGUUUUUUUGGUGGUGGUUAUGUUCAUAAGCAUGUAACCAACUUCUGUUUCAAGUAUAUCUGUAAAUGGUACUCAUGGCCCAUGACUUUUAGAAUAAACCUUACAAAGAAAUAGUUUCUACUGUAAUGUCAACGAAUUCAUGCUGUACACAGUUAUUUAUCUGCUUGUACACCUUGAGUUGUAGGAGAAAGAGGAACUGGCUGGGUGAAAUCAUUCAUGUUGUAGAACUUCUACUUCUGCAAGUAAAUUUCUUUAACAAUGGAUUAAUUGUUAUGUUCUUUAUUCUUGAUAUUUCUGAAGGCUGUUGAGGUAAUCGGCGAAGUCAAUCAAUGGGCUGAAAAGGAAACAAGUGGCCUUGUCGAAGAAAUUCUUCCACCUGGCUCAGUUGAUGCUUCCACGAGGCUCAUCUUUGCGAAUGCAGUGUAUUUCAAAGGAGCUUGGAGUGAGAAGUUUGAUGCAUCAAUUACAAAGGACCAUGACUUUUUCCUCCUAGAUGGGAGCUCAGUACAAGUACCCUUCAUGAGUAGCAAGAAGAAGCAAUAUAUACGUUCCUUUGAUGGUUUCAAAAUUUUGAGCCUUCCGUAUAAGCAAGGUGAAGAUAAGCGCAAGUUCUCUAUGAACUUCCUUCUUCCAGACACCAAAGAUGGAUUGCUGGCUUUGGUAGAGAAAGUCAGUUCGGAAUCAGGAUUCUUGGAGCAUCACCUCCCAUAUCAAAAGGUCGAAGUUGGUGAAUUCCGUAUCCCAAAAUUCAAAUUGUCAUUUGGGUUUGAAGCCUCGGAAGUUCUGAAGGGACUGGGAGUAGUGUUGCCUUUUUCUGGUGGUGGUCUCACAGAGAUGGUGGACUCACAAGUUGGUCAGAACCUUUAUGUUUCUAGCAUUUUCCACAAGUCAUUUAUUGAGGUAAAUGAGGAAGGCACGGAAGCUGCUGCUGCUUCUGCUGGUCUUGUUAAACUGAGGGGUUUAUUAGUCGAGGAUGAGUUCGAUUUUGUUGCCGAUCAUCCAUUUUUGUUCAUCAUCAGGGAAGAUAUGACUGGGGUAGUGCUAUUCAUUGGGCACGUUCUUAAUCCACUUCUUGGCUGAUCAAAUGUACUGAACUAGACUAUUACGUAUACAUAAGAGUCUCAUACAAUCGAUCGAGGUCUGUAUUUUUCUAAUUCCUAUAGCUUCGAUUAGCUGUGCUUUAUGAUACUGUAUUUGUUGCCUGUCAUCCAAUUUCUCUUCUUGUUGUAAAGGUGGUUCCAUCCACACACUUGACUGUUAUGUGCUUUCUAAUAUCUUUAUAUGACCGUUUUCUGAGACUGAUCAACAUGUUUCUUUUCUUAAUUUCAUUUCAACUUGAAACUGGAAUAUUGAUUGCUAGAAUACCAUUUACAUUGUUGUAAAGUUCUCACUUAGCUUGAGCCCCAUUUUUUGGAAAAUAAUGCAUUUUGAAUAGUAGAUUGAAGGAAAAUAUGUGGUUAAAAAGUAAAAAAAAAAGUUUUGAAUUUACGUGUAAUAUUAUUUUAUUGAAGGAUGUGUGGUUGAAAAUAAGUUUUGAAAAACUGAAUUUUUGAAAGAAUGAGACUCAAACAGAGGUUUGAUAACACUUUCACGUCUGUUGAGGAAUUCAAUAAAACAAUAUUUAAUGUAACAGAGUAUACCGUCUGUUGGUUGUAUUAUUUCUACUUGAUUCUAUGUUGAUUUGUGAUUAUGAACUACAUCUAUUAUAUACGAUUAUGGUUAGUUUGGGUCUCCUCAAGGGAAAUGGGAGGUCACACUUCACUUAAAAUGACUUAUUCUUAAUCUAGGAUAGUAAAUGAUCAGUUGAUAUCUAGAUGGUUCAUGGUGUGUGGUCAUCGAUCUGCUAUAACACAUUGAACUACUUUUGGUCCAUUUUUAGAUGGUAACUGUUGUAUAUCUACCCACUUCANUACGUAUACAUAAUAAGAGUCUCAUACAAUCGAUCGAGGUCUGUAUUUUUCUAAUUCCUAUAGCUUCGAUUAGUUGUGCUUUAUGAUACUGUAUUUGUUGCCUGUCAUCCAGUUUCUCUUCUUGUUGUAAAGGUGGUUCCAUCCACACACUUGACUGUUAUGUGCUUUCUAAUAUCUUUAUAUGACCGUUUUCUGAG